CAAGGGUACUGAGGGAAACAGGAACAGAAAGUGAAGACUUGUCAAGAUGUUUGGGUGAAGGGGACGAGCACAGAGCAGAAACACCCAAAAACAGAAACGGCAGAAGUUUGAGCAGCUGACUGGAUUACACAUGAGAGGAAACCUGACCACUUCACAAGUGCCUGCGCGAGGAAACCAGAAGACUCUGCCCAUAUAUGGUCUGUGGUUCAGACGUGUGUCUUCAAGUGAUGUAGUGGGUGAACAAGAUAAAGAAAAAGAUACACAACCAAAUUGAACCACCUCUUCGCGGCUGGAUUAAACUAAACCUGGAGUCGAGAGGCUGGAGGACAAGAGGCGACCUGCAAGCACACGGAUCAAGAAAGUGGCAUGAAGAAAUAAAACUUGUCCCUGAGGAUCAUAAUCAUCGUAACUGAGGGGGGGUUUCAUACAACUCAUCUUCUUGAUUUAUUUAAAAAUAUGCUAAGCCUUUCGUUAAAAGACCCUUUUAGCAGGGACACGUCUACGUCCAGUCUGACUGUUUAAUAAGAACAACACAGGUGUCCAGAUUUCGGCGGCUGAUCCUUUCAGCUCAAUACUCCCUUCUGGAAAAGGUAACCAGACCACAUCUCCACUGUCUUUCUGAAGGUUUAUUCCACAUACACAGUUAAACUGCCGUUAGGCAGCAGUCAGUUAGUAGUUAAACAGUUAUUAGUUUGAAGUUAGUCAGUUAGACAGCAUUUUGAUAGCUACUAACUACAGUUACUUAGUUAGGUUGUAAAACCGACAAGUCGUACAGGUUCUGAUGAUAGAUAGAUUUACAAAGGCGCAUACGAAGGCAAUAUAUAACAAAACAUGGCUUUGACAAUGCACCAUAAAGGCACUUUAAAGGCAACGGUGCUUUGAUACCAAUUACAACGAUGAACAGAUAAAUAGAAUGAAAGAUAAAUAGCUUUGCCUGCUAGAAAGUUCUGAAACAGGCUUGAGCACAGAUCUCGAGGAGAAGAAGACAAGCAAAUUAAAUUCACCACCCGACAGCUGUUGAACACUUCACAUCGUACCACUUUAAAAGUGUUGGUUAAUUAGUUAAUAUGACUCAAAUUAAAACCUGAGGCUCAACUACUUUGAAAUCUCAUUUUUAUGCUUGUUUACUGUCUUGUAAACUUCACAACUUUCUGAACGAUUCAUUAAAAGUUUAUAUCUGCCACACAGGCUCCGUCAAGUAGAAGUCACACUUGUGUAUCCUG
Long non-coding RNA from Solea solea (common sole), 1223 nucleotides. RefSeq lists it as uncharacterized. Lineage: Eukaryota; Metazoa; Chordata; Actinopteri; Pleuronectiformes; Soleidae. The record is from RefSeq and is a predicted model, not a curated record. The transcript is spliced from 3 exons.